UACAGAGGGUGCGAGCGUUAAUCGGAAUUACUGGGCGUAAAGCGCACGUAGUCGGCUUUGCAAGUCGGUUGUGAAAUCCCCGGGCUCAACCUGGGAACUGCAUCCGAGACUGCAUUGCUAGAGUAUGGGAGAGGAAAGCGGAAUUUCUGGUGUAGCAGUGAAAUGCGUAGAUAUCAGAAGGAACAUCAGUGGCGAAGGCGGCACUCUGGGCCGAUACUGACACUGAGGAGCGAAAGCGUGGGGAGCGAACAGG
This 253-nucleotide ribosomal RNA is filed under the name uncultured bacterium. RNAcentral's name for it is "partial 16S ribosomal RNA". It matches the Rfam family "Bacterial small subunit ribosomal RNA", at positions 524 to 776 of the family's 1533-position model. The record is from RNAcentral.